UGGGUGUGCUGGCUCACCAUACUUCCUUCAGGCUACACAGAAGGAACAAUUAAACACUCUUUUAUGUGGCCGCUGCUGGAAACAUCAGAAGCUGUGCCAUAAAGUGCUUGGCUGAAUGGCAGAACUUGUACCUACCUACCUGAAGAAAUAAAAGGGAUUUUUGAAAUGGGAGUUCAGAGGCCAGUGGAUUUAUUGGCUGCAGCAAUGAAGGUGGGAGACUAAAAGUAAGAGCAGUAGUCAAGGCCAUUCAGCUGUAAGGAUGCCAAGAAAGACCCAAACCUCAAAACAAAAACAACCAAACAAAAAACAGCUCUUUUUUUCUGAGGUCUGGGGAUUUUUUUGCUGAUAAUGUUUGUUUCUGAGCAUGAAAUCUGUAUUUUGUUUCCACUUUUCAGACAAAGUCAGGUGUCCUGACAUUUACAGUAAGUAAAUGGGAUUGUGUGAAGGAAAUAUUUGAUGACUCCUUAUUUUCUACUAACAGAAACAGCAAGUUCUCCAGUAAUGGCAAAACAUUCAAGUGUUCCCCAUCCUCUCCCUGAGAGAGUCAAUGUCUGCUUCAUCAACCCUGACUGCCUACAGUGUGCAACAAGCUCCAUCACCUUUCUUCACAAAGAAGAUUGCUUGCACAGAAGGUUUCUCAAACUGCUUGGGACACCUUGCACAGAUUCAUGCCUCUGCCUUGAAUUCAGAAGGGACACUUAAAGAAAUCCUGAACAUUUUGUUGGAAAUGUGAUCAGUCACCUGCAACUUAGACCCUACCUGUUUGGUAAAGGGAAUAAGGACAACUAGAACUUCUGGUAUUUCCAAAGAUUUGUCUGAAGGAAAUGCAGUAUUUUCCAUACAGUAACCCAUCCAACCCCAAAACAAUUUUGGGUGGAAUGGAAGUUGACAACAGGUAUCAAAUCUCUUUUUUUCUGAACAAGCUUAUUAAAAUGCUAGCAACAUCUCUGCAGCUAGAACUGGAGUCUAAUAAGAUUUUAAGGUAGAAUAUGGAAUGCAAUCUUGGCUAUCUAAGGACCAAUUAUGCAUACAUAUAUAUAUAUACCUGCACACAUGUGUGUGCAGAUAUAUAUAUAUAUUCAUUUUUGCUGAGCAAGUUAUUUUGAUAUAGUCAAAUAUAGGAUGCUGACUUAUAAGAAUGUAACAGUAAAACCACUUUGACCUUUAUUUUUCUGCAUAGCAACACACACACAAAUCAGCACAAUCAAAAAUAUAAGUAGAGUUUCUUAUUUAAAGGAGGAAUAGAAAGAAGACUUGGUGCACUUCACUUUUUUUUUUUUUUUUGAAAUACCACAGUGUUUGUGCAGCAUAAGAAACUGACAGAUAGAACAUAUAUUGUACAGUCAUAUCUAUUAAUGAACAUAAUAUAACAUUAAUGAUGCCUUUGCAUCAAAUAUAAGAAAAGAAACUGUACCACGUGCCAUUUAGUUAAUAUAGGGAAAAAAAAAAAGUGUACCAAACACAUGAGCUCACUUCAGUGAACAAAUAAAAGCUGAAUGCUUUUCA
RNAcentral lists this long non-coding RNA (1506 nucleotides) under Anser brachyrhynchus (Pink-footed goose). Its description in RNAcentral is "lncRNA (ENSABRG00000007777.1)". Lineage: Eukaryota; Metazoa; Chordata; Aves; Anseriformes; Anatidae. The record is from RNAcentral.